CCUACGGGGUGCAGCAGUGGGGAAUAUUGGGCAAUGGAGGAAACUCUGACCCAGCAACGCCGCGUGAAUGAUGAAGGUCUUCGGAUUGUAAAGUUCUUUUCUAAGGGGAGAAGAACGUGACGGUACCUUAGGAAUAAGCCUCGGCUAACUACGUGCCAGCAGCCGCGGUAAUACGUAGGAGGCAAGCGUUAUCCGGAAUGACUGGGCGUAAAGGGUGCGUAGGUGGUUCAGCAAGUUAGUAGCGUAAUUCCGGAGCUCAACUUCGGCACUACUACUAAAACUGUUGGACUUGAGUGCAGGAGGGGCAACUGGAAUUUCUAGUGUAGCGGUGGAAUGCGUAGAUAUUAGGAAGAACACCGGUGGCGAAGGCGAGUUGCUGGACUGUAACUGACACUGAGGCACGAAAGCGUGGGGAGCAAACAGGAUUAGAUACCCUUGUAGUC
RNAcentral lists this ribosomal RNA (443 nucleotides) under uncultured bacterium. RNAcentral's name for it is "partial 16S ribosomal RNA". It matches the Rfam family "Bacterial small subunit ribosomal RNA", at positions 338 to 795 of the family's 1533-position model. The record is from RNAcentral.